Molecule: ribosomal RNA, 268 nt
Filed under: uncultured archaeon
Lineage: Archaea
Description: partial 16S ribosomal RNA
Rfam family: Archaeal small subunit ribosomal RNA
Source: RNAcentral
AGUCACUGACAUUAGAUACCCGUGUAGUCCAGGGUGUAAACGCUGCAGACUUGGUGUUGGAGGCCCUUUGGGGGCAUUCAGUGCCGGAGAGAAGUUGUUAAGUCUGCUACUUGGGGAGUACGUCCGCAAGGAUGAAACUUAAAGGAAUUGGCGGGGGGAGCACCGCCAACGGGAGGAGCGUGCGGUUUAAUUGGAUUCAACACCGUAAAACUCACCAGGGAAGACUGUUACAUGAAGGCCGAGAUGAAGACUCUGCUAGAUUUUUCAG